GUCCUCACCCCCUCACACUCCAGGCCCUCCAAGUCGGGCUGCGUUGAACCCUUUAUGUUGGCCACCGCACCAUGUCUAAUGGCCCCUGCUGAGACGAGCGUCCUGCUCCCUCCUGCUCCCUCCUGCUCCCUCCUGCUCCCUCCUGCUCCCUCCUGCUCCCAGGACCACUUGUCAUCAAGAGGAUUGCGGCUAAAUAAAAACCAUAGAAACUGGGACUUGAAAUAUUGGGGUGCAGCCUCCCCCAAAAGCCCCCAAAACCUUGAACCCGCAUCUGUUGCUUGCUGUUGUCAUGUACAUGAAAGUUGAUCACACAAGGGAUAAGAUGUGUUGCCCUCAGCUCCUCUGUGCUGAUAAAACCUGUGUUUCCACACAAGCGUGGCAGAAUAUUUUCUUUCUUCAAUCUCUUUAUUUUAUUUGUUUUGCCUUUGAAUAUCUUUUUUUUGUGUCCACACUGGAAAUAACGCUGAGGUUUUUCAGGCCUUGGUUUGACAUGCCUAAUGGUGGCUUUCUCACUUGCCGGUAACAUCCUGAAGAAGGAGGUGGGUGAAGAGAGAGAAUGCUGAGAAUUAGACCCUUACUGCUGGCAGACAGGAUCCCUCCUCCCCCAUCCUCAUCCCUAAACAUACGUACACAGUGAGCUUGGAAGAUACGUCAGACGGCUUUCACCCUCCGCUAUUUGUCUCUUUGUCUGCCUGUCUGAAAAAUUCUUUUAAUUUUUAAGCGAGAAAUCGCCCCACCGCUGAAGCGGUUUCAGUAGCCCAGC
Esox lucius (northern pike) is the source of this 763-nucleotide long non-coding RNA. The record is from Ensembl. NCBI's taxonomy places the organism in Eukaryota, Metazoa, Chordata, Actinopteri, Esociformes, Esocidae.